This is a microRNA precursor of Gadus morhua (Atlantic cod), 53 nucleotides long. The record is from Ensembl. NCBI's taxonomy places the organism in Eukaryota, Metazoa, Chordata, Actinopteri, Gadiformes, Gadidae.
UUCUUCUCCAGAGUUGCCGAGGCCUCACGCCCUCGCCAACUCUGGAGAAGAAU